GCAGCCGCGGUAAUACGUAGGUGGCAAGCGUUGUCCGGAAUUACUGGGUGUAAAGGGAGCGCAGGCGGGACUGCAAGUUGGAUGUGAAAUGUCGCGGCUUAACCGCGGAGCUGCAUCCAAAACUGUAGUUCUUGAGUGGAGUAGAGGUAGGCGGAAUUCCGAGUGUAGCGGUGAAAUGCGUAGAUAUUCGGAGGAACACCAGUGGCGAAGGCGGCCUACUGGGCUCUUACUGACGCUGAGGCUCGAAAGUGUGGGGAGCAAACAGGAUUAGAUACCCC
RNAcentral lists this ribosomal RNA (278 nucleotides) under uncultured Eubacterium sp. RNAcentral describes it as "partial 16S ribosomal RNA". It matches the Rfam family "Bacterial small subunit ribosomal RNA", at positions 511 to 788 of the family's 1533-position model. The record is from RNAcentral. Lineage: Bacteria; Bacillati; Bacillota; Clostridia; Eubacteriales; Eubacteriaceae.